RNAcentral lists this long non-coding RNA (315 nucleotides) under Citrus maxima (pomelo). Its description in RNAcentral is "long non-coding RNA (CMAX_LNC003376)". The record is from RNAcentral. Lineage: Eukaryota; Viridiplantae; Streptophyta; Magnoliopsida; Sapindales; Rutaceae.
UUUUUUUUUUUUUUGAUUACAUGAGACUAUUGCUCAGAUUAUAACUCAUAUACAUGAGACUAUUACUGAUAUUUACAAAUCAGACUAUUACUGGGACCAACUGACAUCAAUGCUAAUGGAGCUCUGCCCAUAUUUUAACCCUCACAAAUAUUCGAGGGAUGUCUACUCUUCACUCAUGGGUAAGGGAGAAGACUACCUUCACUCAAAUUAAUUGAGGAAGGAAAUACCCCCACAAUACUUUUGUGGGGGUUCGAACUGCUGCCCUCCAAGUUGGAGGGCAGCAGCCCUGGCCACUCGGGCUACUGCCCGAGUGGU